Molecule: unclassified non-coding RNA, 227 nt
Filed under: uncultured Agaricomycetes
Lineage: Eukaryota; Fungi; Basidiomycota; Agaricomycetes
Description: sequence contains ITS2
Source: RNAcentral
AUAACAUCAACCGUCCGGCUUUGUUGUCGGAGGGCUUGGACUUGGGGGAAUUGUUUGUCGGCCUCGCGGUCGGCUCCCCUUGAAUGCAUUAGCUGGAUCGUACCUUUGGUCGCGGGUUAGGUGGAUUCCACGGUGUAGUACGCUAUUCACCGAGGAGGAAGCCUUACUUUCAUGCCUAACACCUUCGGAACGUCUGCUUCCAACCGUCUUCGGACAACAUUUUGUAA